AUGGCUAAGGUGACCCCAAGAAACCCAAGGGCAAGAUGUCUGCUUAUGUCUUCUUUGUGCAAACGUGCAGAGAACAUAAGAAAAACUCAGAUCUCUGUCAAUUUUGCAGUUUUCCAAGAAGUGCUCUGAGAAGUCGAAGACAAUGUCUGGGGAAGAAAAGUUGAAAUUAUAACAUGGCAAAUGUGGAUAAAGAAUGCAAUGAUAGGGAAAUGAAGGAUUACAGACCAGCUAAGGGAGGCAAGAAGAAGGACCCUGAUGCCCCCAAAAGGCCACUGUCUGAAGUUUUCCUGUUCUGUUCAGAAUUCUGCCCCAAGAUCAAAUCCAGAAACCUUGACACCUCCACUGGAGAUGUGGCAAAACAAACAAACAAAAAAGUUGGGUGAGAUGCAGAAUAACUUAGGUGACCGUGAAAAGCAGCCUGACAUCACUAAGGCAGUGAAGCUGAAGUAUAAGAAGGAUGUUGCUGACUAUAAGUCUAAAGGAAAGUUUGAUGCUACAGAGGGACAGUCCCGCUAAAGUUGGAAACUUCCAACGUUUAGAAAACGUUGGAAGAGUCAGAUGAAGAAGAGAAGAAGGAUGAAUUAA
Molecule: long non-coding RNA, 585 nt
Filed under: Homo sapiens (human)
Lineage: Eukaryota; Metazoa; Chordata; Mammalia; Primates; Hominidae
Description: non-protein coding lnc-DDX58-4:1
Source: RNAcentral